This is a non-coding RNA of Taeniopygia guttata (zebra finch), 6482 nucleotides long. The record is from RefSeq and is a predicted model, not a curated record. Lineage: Eukaryota; Metazoa; Chordata; Aves; Passeriformes; Estrildidae.
CGGGGGAUCCGUGGCUCGCAGGGAUUCCUGCGGGAGCAUGAAUAUGCAUAUGAAUAUGGAUAUGCAUAUGAAUAUGGAUAUGCACUGAUACCGAUCCAGCAAGAAGCGUGGAGCAGCGGAUCAGCGCUCUUUCUGCCUCAGUCAGCAUCCAGCUCUGUUGGGAGAGAGCGGUGAUUCAGCCACUGCGCUGAUCUCAGGGAGCAAGGCCCUCCUCUUGGGCAGUGAAUUGGGAGCAGUGAACUCUGGAGCUUUAUGGAGAGGUUUGAUGCUGCUGCUUUGUGGGGUGAGUUGUCAGACACAUGAAACGUGACAGCUGUGCACUUGUACCUCAAGUGUACAACCACAAUAAAUCAAACACAGUGCAAUUCUGCAUCUGCCUGCCAUGGUUUCUCUGGCUGGUUUUUUUUUCCCUCUUACUCCUCCUGAACAAAUUGGACUUUUUGUAUCCCUACCAGCCUUGGAAGCUUAAUAUUUCUCUCUCAUUUUUAACAAAGGUGUGCCAGUUGUGGAUUCCAAUAGUUAUUGUAUGUCUUACAAGUAAAAGAUACAAGCUCCAACAAUCCUUUGGCAUCUUAGGGUCUGAAGUGAGUCUUUGUGAUUCAUGCUUCACAGCUCUACAGAUUAUGUUUUUUUCUUUAUGUUACGGUAACAUAUAAUUUUGCAGAUGCUUUAAGCAGAGAGUAUUAAAAACAGUAUUACCAGGGUAAGCUUCUCUUCCACCCAAAUGAGUAACCUCACAAAGUUAUCUCACUGCCUAGUCAUUACUGACAUUUGGAAGCAACAAGGUUUUAAUUAAAAGUUCUGUGGAUGAUGCAUAAAUUUCCAAAAUUCAUUUUGAUUUCCAUUUAAUUAGCUAUGUAAAAUUAAUAAGUAGGGACAAUAGAGGUGCAAGUCAAUGACAGAAUAAAGUACCAUAAUACCUUUUCAGACAUAAAAUACUAGGUUAAAACAAGACAGUAAGUUCUAUGGACAAUUCAAAUACUAAUUCUGUCUACUGUCAUCUUUUCUCCACUUGUAGUCUCUUCAAUGAAAAUAAAUGAUGUAGAAUUUAUCCCAGUUGCCACAGCAGGUGUAGCUGGCAAUUGUUUUAUUUAAGGUGGGUUUUUUUCAAGACUUCUCAAGAUCCUUGCUCUUCUUUUUUCCUACUAUAAAUGUUAAAGAACUGCUUUUUAUUAGGCAUUUGAUUACAAGAAACAGUCCUGGAAACUCAGCAGUAGAGAUUGAUAUAAAAAGUUUCAACUUCUUUUCUCCUUUUCAUGGUAUUUAUUCUAUAUAUACAUACUUUCCCUGCUAAUACAGAAUUCUUGUGUAAAUGCAUUUGGUGAGAUUAAUGAGAAACUGACCUAAAACCAGGGAAUUGGAAGGCAUUUAAAAAUAAGAAGAAAAAAUUAGAGUGAUGCAGACCUGUUAUUUGGAGUAGGCAGUUUAUUGGAUGCAAAGGUUUUGACUUCCAAGGAGUCUAAAAAUCUAAGCAGUGAGUUUGCCUCAUAAACUCCUACAGCUAGUGCUUGAAGUCUGGUAACUCAUUGUUCAGUUUGGAAGAGCAGGAGAUGUAGUUUUCAAGUAGUAGCCACAGAAGAUUGCAAGGUUUGAGGGAGGAUUCAGAAUUUGGUAAGAUUGGUUAAAAUAACUAAAGACUAAGGCAACAGUCUGAUACCUAGUUGCAGUAAAGUUUUGUGGAAUUUUUUUUCCUUUGUGAAAACUGAGCAGAGCUCUUUUGCAGUGUAACACAACUAAUCCUGUCUUUUCUUAGUAGGACUUAAAUGUAUUUGUGUUUUUCCAUCGUGGCAACUCCCUGCUCUCUUGAUACCAUGUUUGGACCUGGGAGCCUUCAGUGCAACAGCUAUUUGCAGUCCUGAAGAAAGCAGGUUGCUGUCUACUCCUCCAGGCGUGUCCAGAGCGCUUGGCCAUGAUUCCAGUCUGGGAAAUGCCUUGAGAGAUCUUCAUCUCAGCUGUGUUAGCUAAGCAAGGUGAAGCAGGUGAAGUACAGGGUUUCCAUGAGGAAGGCAGUGAUUAGUUCUGGAUUCUGCUCUCCAGUCUGCAAAAUCCCUGAUACUGCAAGUGAGUGCGUGACCUGCCUGUCUGGGUGGAAGUGGUGCACUUGGUCUGAAAAGUCAUUCGACAGAAAGUGAUGCAGCUGCAGAGGCUGCCUCUGACACCUCUGCUACUGAUGCAGGAAGUUAGCUUUGAACAUUUCUGAAGGAGAAAUGAACCAUCACUUGUUCUAAAUAAUUGGUCACUCUUGUCCAACUCUGUAACUCUUGAAUAGGAAAAAAUAGGUACAAUAUUUUUAUCAUGUACCGCUUGUGAGACGAUGUUCCAAAGAAAGAUGUGCUGCUCUCCUUUCAAACAUGAAUAUUCUCUGUGGAAGCCUCCUGCUACCUGGGGUGCAGGUCUGCUUUGAAAGUUACACUGCUGGGCACUAAAGGGAACUGAGCAAAGUUCGCUCUUUGUGUUUCAGGUUCUUUUGUCUCCAACAGGAAAGGCUGUAACUGGAAUAUAAAUAAAACCAUUUUUUCCCCUGAAAUGAAAUGUAGACAGCUUUGGCUAUCUGGCAGUAAUUCACUUUCUGAGUUUCCACCUGUAAGUGAUCUAACUCUUAACUGUUAAACAAGAACCUUUCUAUUCAACAGAAAUACACCUUAUAUUCAUGAUUUCUUAACUGGCACUUAGAAUACUUGUGACAUUUGGGUUUUUUUUUUCCUUCUAAUUACAGGUUCUAAAAUUACACCUAUGAACAAGAGUGAGUGUACUGUUGUUUUCUAAAAUGAGGUAAUUUUUUCUCGUUUUGGCUUUGAGUACAGCUCCACAAACAGUUGCAUCAGCACUACUGAUGAGUAAACUAGCAAAAUGGUAGAAACAAUUGCAUGAGAAAGGACAGGAAUUACUUGGGCUUUGCUACUGGAAAAGAUUGUAAUGUAGAACCAUUUAUCAUGUUAAACUGCAGUAAUUUAUUUAAAUGUAUCUAAAAAUUAUUCAUAGUUUCUGCAUGAUAUUUUCAUAGAAGUGAUGUGUAAGAACAGAUACCUUACAUAAGUAAAUUGAUUUUUUUUUUUUUUUUGCUGGAAGCAAUCAUUUAUUUGUAUGUGCUUAUGGUGUUUUUAGAAACACUUUGAGAAGUGGUAUGCUUUUUGAUUAGACAAAAUCUGAAGAUUUCUAAGUGUGUUCUUCUUUAGUAUUAGAAAUGCAAACUGCAUCUGGAAGACUCUAGAAGAGCAGUAACAUCCUAAAUGUUGUAAUAAGUUCUGUGGUCAUGAAAGAAAGGUAUUUUUAAAUUAAUCAGUGGAGUAGACCAUUUGGAAUCAACUGGAGACAAGCUGCUGGCUGAUCUCACUUGAAGGAAAAAUUAGGAUGUUAUCAGAGCCAGUCUGUGGCAAGAUUUGUCCCUUUAGACAGCUGCUAAUUUCAAUUGCUUUGGGUGAAGUGCAGUUACACUUUCUUAUGAGUCAUUAGAAUUAAAGGAAUGUAAUCUUAGAAGUCCUGAUUUGUAUUUGCAAUCAAUAACAGCUGUAAUAUUUAUGUUAACAUUACAGUUAAUGCUGUGCUUCCUGGUAUAAGAGCACUUCUCAUAUGUAUUUGAGUCUCUUUUGUUUAGAAACAAAAAAUCAGCACUUGCAAACACUUAAACAAUGCUUGUGCUAGAUUCCAAAAAAGUGGAACCAAAUUCCCAAAAUAAUAAGACUUAUUCCAUAUUAAAAACUUUUUAAAAUUUUUAUUUUUUCCCAUUCCCAUUUGCUUUUCUUUACACUUUAAUUUUCAGUCAUAGACAGCAAAGUGGUUGUGAGUUUACAGCAGCUCAAUAAAUGAGGUAUCCUUCACUCCUACAUUUCCCUCUUGUUGGCAAUGUCAAGUUUUCUGAAAAUAGUUGUUGGAAGUAGGAGAGUAGGUUGUUUUUAGAAAUUUAUUUUGGUCUAAAUUCCAUGUAUUAAUUUAGUAUCAAAGUAGCAAUUUGUAAGGAGAAUAUUUUUCUCUUACAGGCAUGAGCCACACUGCCAGCCAAUGUUUCUUUAACCUGCUACAUCUGAGAGUGUGUCUGAGGGCUGGUGCGUGUGGCUUUGAUGACACAAGGUGUUGUAACCAUUUGGGUGCAUUCUGGGUGUGCUUUUAUGAAGCAGAAACUUUUGUAGUAGACAGCACUGAAAUUGCACCAUGCAACUUGUAAUUACUGGGUAGAGUGUUCAGGAAGCAAUCCCUGUAACAUAAUGUAAAAUAAUGCUCUUCUAUCUGUUCAAAAGUCCAGGAGAGUGCUGUUUCACUCCUUAAAAAUACUGAGUGGCCUGGAGGUCACUUGGGUGCCUCAGGCCACUUGGCGCAUAAAAAUAAAGCCUUUUUUAAAAACACACCUAAAAAUAGAUUUGAAGUCUAUUUUUAAUCUGGAAAUCUGCUUUCUGAUCUGUAAUGUUAAAUGAAACUUGCAGGACACUUGGGGUUAGGAUGUAGGAUUCUCUACCUAUUCACUGCUGCUUUUUGACUGGGGUUUUCCUGAGCUUUCCAUGAAAGCAUCUGUAAGGAGGAUGAAGAGAAAUGCACAUUGGUUUAGCCUUUCCUGGGUUCCUGCUGUCAGAAAAUGUGACCACUGCUUGUGCAGGGAGAUAGAUGAGACCAAGCUACCAGCUUGUGUUGGGUGCACAGCUUUUCCUUUCUCUGAAACCCGGGCAGCUGUGGGGCUGCUGCUGCUGCCACAGCUCUGGGUUUGAGUGCCCAGCCCUCAGCACUCUUAGGCUUGAGGAAAGGGCAUCUCAUUCUUCUGUGUUCUCUCCCUUGCCUCCUUAUGAGCAUGCAAAAUGCAGCAGAACUGACACCCUUCUCCGCAAGGAAAUGCUACUCAGUUGAAAGUGAGGACAAUUUUCUGAGCUGUUUAGGGUUCUAAAGGUCUAGCAUUGGAUUUAAGCCAUGCUGGACUUGAAAUAACUGGUCAUAUUAAAAGGGAAGGGAAGAUGUCUUCUGGUUUUGCUCUACACUGUCUUUCAUGUUCUUUUCCUUCCAUUUAUCUUCCAUCUUUUAUUCAUGCAGUUGUGUUUAAAAAUAUAUAAUUUGUUGACUAUUGUUUUGGGGAUGUUGCCAGGUAUGGCUGUGGAUUUAGGGAUUUGAUCUAUUUAAGUACUAUUUAAGUCAAUUGAAUGUAAUGACUCCACUAGCUCUUAAUGGAGAUAAAUUGAAUUCUUUGCAGAGUUUGCAAGGGCUGCCAAAGGUAUCUCAGUGUUUUAAUUUCUGUAUAUUUGUGUAUAAUACUUGGGAGACAAAAUAUUACGAUUUCAAAAUACAAAAUUCUUAUUUUCUUCUAUCUGUUUAGUUAAAAUAUGUAAGGUAUCAACCAUAGCAAACCCUGUUAAGAAAAAGUUGACACAGUCUAAAGUCCAGCUAUUGCCAACAUAGUUUGCCCUCUGCACUGUACUUUAAUGGUCUUUAAUUAUGUGAUAAGAUUUAAAACCAGAUACGCCUCACAUUUUUUUCAUCAACCACAGGUGAUGUGUAAUACUAUUCUCUCUCUGUGUUUGACAGUAGAAGAAAAGAAUGUCCUUGCCUUUAUUACAGUUUUAAUGAAUGCUAGGAAAUUAUAAACCAUUUGCAUUAGUUACUGUGAAUUUAAUGUGUCGUUAAGGUGUCAAGAGAGUUUAGUUGGUCGACUCCAGUGCCUGUGAAUUAAACAGUGAUAAUGAGACAAUUGCUUAGAGUUAAGUUAUGGUAUUAAUUAUUUAGCUGACUUGUGAUUAAUAUAUUACUGAAAAGAAAAAACUUUAUACAUUUGGAAACAAGUUUUAUGUCAGCUUCCAAUGUCAGCUUCCAAUUUACUAACAGUGACUAAAACAAAUAAAUAAUAUAAAUAAUUUCCAAAAAGAAACCUUACAUGUGAUUUCAUACUCUUUUUAGAACAUUGAAGAAAAAAUCAUUGUCUUCUUGAUUGUACAUUUAUUUUGGAGGACUGGUACAAUUAUAAAUACAAGCAAUUGUUAAGUAGCUAAUACUCAAGCCAAGAGGUUGUAUAAGUCUUGAUGAUGAUGAUGAUUAUUAUUAUCAUUACUAUUAUUUAAUUGAUGAAUUGUUUGUAACUGUAAUCACCUUUAAAGAGUACUGUACACAGAAAAGAAAAACCAGGUUGGCUCCAAGUGAAACUGAGGAUUGCAUAUGUGUGGACACAGUGUGGCCAGAACUCUCCUGACCUGGCACUGCAGAAGGUGGCGUUGGACUGCAGUGUUUUGGUCUGUGUAUGUGCAGCUACAGUUGUCCAACAUACCUUUAAUUGUAAAGUUUCCACUUUUGGUGGUGAGAUUCCUGUUUCUGAAAUUUACUGGAGCAUAAUUUCCAAACAGAAGAAGAGGACAUCUCCACAGGCACUCCAGAUGUGUAAUGUCCCUUAUUCAGCAAAUCAGAUGAACAGGUGCUGAAAUGUUGGUUCUUUGAGCAGUUCCAGUGGAGUUAUCACAGAAAAAAUGUGUAUAUUUGCAACUAAAUAAAAGGAAAUAGACAACACCGAAAAAAAC